This is a long non-coding RNA of Bactrocera neohumeralis, 555 nucleotides long. RefSeq lists it as uncharacterized. The record is from RefSeq and is a predicted model, not a curated record. The transcript is spliced from 2 exons. NCBI's taxonomy places the organism in Eukaryota, Metazoa, Arthropoda, Insecta, Diptera, Tephritidae.
AUAAAUACAUGUGUAUGUGUGUAUGUAAGUACAUCUGUAUAUACAGUGUGCGACAAAACUAAAGCACGGAAUCUGCCUUGUCGGUAUUUAACCGAAUAAAAUCAUAAAGUAGGCAUUACGUGAUGUUUUAUUGAUUUGUAUUAUUAGUUCAUGUAUUCUUCUUUUAAAAUUAGUAAAAAUUAAACAAAUUAACUUACUAAAAUAUUAUAUAAAAUUAAAUAUAUGAAGAACUCCAAAAAUCUGGUGCGACAAAACAAAAGCACAUAACUAAGAAUUUACAUUAAUUGCACAUUAAUUGUUUGUCAAACGGGUUUUAAUGAUCAAAAAUGUUGGAUAUGUGUAGUUAUUACCUAAUUAGAAAAAUAUUAAUGCAUAUUCAGUUGCAGUUCGUCAUUCAGUACGGUUGGUUGUAUGUUAAAGAGAAAGAUAUUUCAAUGGCUCGAAAUAAGUAUUCUGUUCAUUUUAGAAAAAAAUUUGUUAAGGAUUUUAAGAAAAGAGAAUCGGUUAUGACUAUUGCAAAAAAGUUUGGAAUAAAUCAUCCUAAUGUUUCCCGAA